RNAcentral lists this unclassified non-coding RNA (332 nucleotides) under soil metagenome. RNAcentral's name for it is "partial contains 5.8S ribosomal RNA, internal transcribed spacer 2, and large subunit ribosomal RNA". The stretch from base 1 to 120 matches the Rfam family "5.8S ribosomal RNA", at positions 35 to 154 of the family's 154-position model. The record is from RNAcentral.
GAUGAAGAACGUAGCGAAAUGCGAUAAGUAGUGUGAAUUGCAGAAUUCAGUGAAUCAUCGAAUCUUUGAACGCACAUUGCGCCCUUUGGUAUUCCUUAGGGCAUGCCUGUUCGAGCGUCAUUUAAACCUUCAAGCUAAGCUUGGUGUUGGGUGACUGUCCGCUUCACGGCGGACUCGCCUCAAAAUUAUUGGCGGCCGGUACAUUGGCUUCGAGCGCAGCAGAAACGCGAACUCGGGCCCGUCGUAUUGGCUCCCAGAAGUUAUCUUCACAAUUUUGACCUCGGAUCAGGUAGGGAUACCCGCUGAACUUAAGCAUAUCAAUAAGCGGAGGA